UCUGAACCUUCGGGGAACGAUAACGGCGUCGAGCGGCGGACGGGUGAGUAAUGCCUAGGAAAUUGCCCUGAUGUGGGGGAUAACCAUUGGAAACGAUGGCUAAUACCGCAUAAUGCCUACGGGCCAAAGAGGGGGACCUUCGGGCCUCUCGCGUCAGGAUAUGCCUAGGUGGGAUUAGCUAGUUGGUGAGGUAAUGGCUCACCAAGGCGACGAUCCCUAGCUGGUCUGAGAGGAUGAUCAGCCACACUGGAACUGAGACACGGUCCAGACUCCUACGGGAGGCAGCAGUGGGGAAUAUUGCACAAUGGGCGCAAGCCUGAUGCAGCCAUGCCGCGUGUGUGAAGAAGGCCUUCGGGUUGUAAAGCACUUUCAGUCGUGAGGAAGGUGGUGUAGUUAAUAGCUGCAUUAUUUGACGUUAGCGACAGAAGAAGCACCGGCUAACUCCGUGCCAGCAGCCGCGGUAAUACGGAGGGUGCGAGCGUUAAUCGGAAUUACUGGGCGUAAAGCGCAUGCAGGUGGUUUGUUAAGUCAGAUGUGAAAGCCCGGGGCUCAACCUCGGAAUAGCAUUUGAAACUGGCAGACUAGAGUACUGUAGAGGGGGGUAGAAUUUCAGGUGUAGCGGUGAAAUGCGUAGAGAUCUGAAGGAAUACCGGUGGCGAAGGCGGCCCCCUGGACAGAUACUGACACUCAGAUGCGAAAGCGUGGGGAGCAAACAGGAUUAGAUACCCUGGUAGUCCACGCCGUAAACGAUGUCUACUUGGAGGUUGUGGCCUUGAGCCGUGGCUUUCGGAGCUAACGCGUUAAGUAGACCGCCUGGGGAGUACGGUCGCAAGAUUAAAACUCAAAUGAAUUGACGGGGGCCCGCACAAGCGGUGGAGCAUGUGGUUUAAUUCGAUGCAACGCGAAGAACCUUACCUACUCUUGACAUCCAGAGAACUUUCCAGAGAUGGAUUGGUGCCUUCGGGAACUCUGAGACAGGUGCUGCAUGGCUGUCGUCAGCUCGUGUUGUGAAAUGUUGGGUUAAGUCCCGCAACGAGCGCAACCCUUAUCCUUGUUUGCCAGCGAGUAAUGUCGGGAACUCCAGGGAGACUGCCGGUGAUAAACCGGAGGAAGGUGGGGACGACGUCAAGUCAUCAUGGCCCUUACGAGUAGGGCUACACACGUGCUACAAUGGCGCAUACAGAGGGCAGCAAGCUAGCGAUAGUGAGCGAAUCCCAAAAAGUGCGUCGUAGUCCGGAUUGGAGUCUGCAACUCGACUCCAUGAAGUCGGAAUCGCUAGUAAUCGUGGAUCAGAAUGCCACGGUGAAUACGUUCCCGGGCCUUGUACACACCGC
RNAcentral lists this ribosomal RNA (1334 nucleotides) under Vibrio rotiferianus. Its description in RNAcentral is "bacterial SSU rRNA". It matches the Rfam family "Bacterial small subunit ribosomal RNA", at positions 66 to 1393 of the family's 1533-position model. Lineage: Bacteria; Pseudomonadati; Pseudomonadota; Gammaproteobacteria; Vibrionales; Vibrionaceae. The record is from RNAcentral.